CAAAGUGUUCCUCUCCCUCGUGGCCCCCUUCCCCAGGCAGCCUUGCUCUGCUCUCACAGCCCAGAGACCCAGGAUGGUGUCAUCCAUGCAUGAAGCAGAGGUCCUGUUCAUCCUUGCAGACUCUGGGCUGCCUUGUAAAGCCUCAGCCCUUGGGUGAAGACUGUUGGGCGAGAAACAAAAACGUCAGCGCCCUAAGCAGUGACAGACUGAUCAAGGACAUGUCUCCUCUUCAGACAGAAACACCAUCUGUUCAUGAUGUUGAGUCUGACAUCCCUCAAAGCGAGAUUUUCCAGGAAUCCAGACUGGAGAGAGUAAUGUGAUUUGUGCUGCUGGUAAUUAGUAUCUCUUGUGGUCUGGCAUGCUACAAGUUGACCAUCAGGUGGAUAUAACAGGCAGAAAUUCGGGGAUUUUUUUUUUUUGUUGCCUCACAAAGCAGCAGCAGAUCUGUUCCAAAUGGGGUUUGGUCUCCAGGGACAGGUUGAAUGUGGAAAGUGAUAAUCCCUCAUUUUACUCAUAGUAUCUUAGCCUGCUUCCACUGGGAAAUCAAGUCUGUUGGUCUAAAUCACCGUGUGGCUGCUUUUCCCCACGGGGAUGAGGAAUGAAGGUGUUUUCAUCUGAGGCACCUGAGAGCACGUUUGCAGUCAGGCUCUGAUGUUGUCCAUGGCUCAACUGGGCAGCAGUGCCUUGCUCAAAGGGGUGCUGGAGUGCCUGGAUGGACAGGAAUUCUCUGUGGGCAGGACAAUGAAUCCUGGGGUGGAUUUGGUUCCCAUGUGGAUGAUGGACUCAGGUGGUCCAUCAUCCACAGGCAGAAAGUGGCACGGCUGGCUGACUCUCCCUGUGUGUAGGGCUCAGCCCUGAGAAUGGUUAUUGCUUUCCCUCAGAUUCCAUCACCUUUGUUUUUCUCCAUCAUCAAAAUUCCAGGGCUGGUUUGUGAUGCCGCCUGGAUCCCAUCCUCAGGAAUGUCCUCAAACUCACCUAAGGCACACUCCCAAUAGCAGAGCAUAAAUCCUCUUGGAAGAGCAGGUCCUUGCUCACAUGAUGCCUCCUGUUUGGGGCCUGACUCUGCUACCACAUACAGCAGUGGUUCUUGUGGUGAUACCCAAAUGCAGAUCAGAUGUGUUGGUGUAUUCUUCCUGGAGAAGCAGGGGAAAAUAAGGAAAACUGUUCUAAUAUGUAACAUGUAACAUCCAAUGUGUAAUCUCUUAGAUGGGAAGCACAUUCUGAUUUCAGUUUACGAGGAACAAACAGUCAGUCCUUCAACUAAAAUCUCUACCAGCACUUCUUUUAAAGAAGAUGUAACACUGAAGUGCCUGAUGAACAGCAUUUGAAAUGAUGAAGUAGAGCUACUGAUGGGCACAGUGUGUGGUUUUGUCUCUUCCAGAUCAACUGCACUUUGGUGUGAUCUGCCUGGCAGAGAUGAUGUGACAGAGGAGGAUGAAUUGGGUGUUUGCCUCCUGGGUGAAUAAAACCACAUAACUUCAGGCCUUCUCUUCCA
Molecule: long non-coding RNA, 1495 nt
Filed under: Cyanistes caeruleus (blue tit)
Lineage: Eukaryota; Metazoa; Chordata; Aves; Passeriformes; Paridae
Description: lncRNA (ENSCCEG00000013410.1)
Source: RNAcentral